CUGCUGCUAAGGUUUCUACUACAGGUGCAAGAAAAAAAAGGUCCUCUUGUUUUCUGUCUGAUUGUGGCAGUCAAGACUGAAUGGGGGAAUACAGGA
This 96-nucleotide small nucleolar RNA is filed under the name Dasypus novemcinctus (nine-banded armadillo). RNAcentral's name for it is "Small nucleolar RNA SNORA31 (ENSDNOG00000044487.1)". Lineage: Eukaryota; Metazoa; Chordata; Mammalia; Cingulata; Dasypodidae. The record is from RNAcentral.